GGGGAUAUCCCAGAUACCCCGCUGGCAUUACGACAAGUCCCUUUUCCCCCUGCUAGAUGUCACGACUGGUGACACCCCUUAUCUUCUGCCCUCACCCUCUCUCGACAGACUGGUUCGAACUGUCAAGCUGGAAACAUUGCCCCAUUUCUCUUGCUGGGAUAUUGUGUAAUACGGGUGCCGUGCUAGGCCCCGUCGUGUGAAAAAGAAAGACAAACCCUCGUUAAUUAACUAGCGUCUGAAUAAAAUAGGCUUGUGGGCCUUUAUCCCGCAA
This is a long non-coding RNA of Daphnia magna, 271 nucleotides long. RefSeq lists it as uncharacterized. The record is from RefSeq and is a predicted model, not a curated record. The transcript has 2 exons. Lineage: Eukaryota; Metazoa; Arthropoda; Branchiopoda; Diplostraca; Daphniidae.